AAAAAUAUGGAGGCGGGCUGGACCUCUCGGGGUUACAGCCUUGCUGAAUUAUUCACCCUUGUCUUUUGCGUACUUCUUGUUUCCUUGGUGGGUUCGCCCACCACUAGGACAAACAUAAACCUUUUGUAAUUGCAAUCAGCGUCAGUAACAAAUUAAUAAUUACAACUUUCAACAACGGAUCUCUUGGUUCUGGCAUCGAUGAAGAACGCAGCGAAAUGCGAUAAGUAGUGUGAAUUGCAGAAUUCAGUGAAUCAUCGAAUCUUUGAACGCACAUUGCGCCCUUUGGUAUUCCAAAGGGCAUGCCUGUUCGAGCGUCAUUUGUACCCUCAAGCUUUGCUUGGUGUUGGGCGUCUUGUCUCUAGCUUUGCUGGAGACUCGCCUUAAAGUAAUUGGCAGCCGGCCUACUGGUUUCGGAGCGCAGCACAAGUCGCACUCUCUAUCAGCAAAGGUCUAGCAUCCAUUAAGCCUUUUUUUCAACUUUUGACCUCGGAUCAGGUAGGGAUACCCGCUGAACUUAAGCAUAUCAAUAAGCGGAGGAAA
RNAcentral lists this ribosomal RNA (540 nucleotides) under uncultured Alternaria. RNAcentral describes it as "eukaryotic LSU rRNA". The stretch from base 164 to 317 matches the Rfam family "5.8S ribosomal RNA". The record is from RNAcentral. Lineage: Eukaryota; Fungi; Ascomycota; Dothideomycetes; Pleosporales; Pleosporaceae.